RNAcentral lists this small RNA (878 nucleotides) under Arabidopsis thaliana (thale cress). RNAcentral's name for it is "ATSL211900". The record is from RNAcentral. Lineage: Eukaryota; Viridiplantae; Streptophyta; Magnoliopsida; Brassicales; Brassicaceae.
UAUUAAAUGAGAACAAUUGCAUAUAAGAUGUAGGAUUCAUAAUAAUAGAGCAAGAUGGUGAAAUCGAGGACAAAACGUAGAUGCAAAAGAGAAUUUCUAUUCGAGGACAAGAUCUGAAGACUAAAACAAAAGUCUUGCUCCAAUUGUUCUCCGCUAAUAGGUAAUCAUGUCUCCUAACGCAUUAUAUAUUACGUUGUCCCCCGCUAUCAGGUAAUCAUGUCUCCUAAUGUAUUAUAUAUUACGUUGUCCCCCGCAGAAUUUUGGAUAACCAAUUUGUUUAAAUAAGUCAUUUUUAAAUACCCAAUAACAACAGUAGAAGCCAGUUGUUCUCCACUAUUUUGUCCCCUAAUUCUUUAUUCUUCCAGCAUGAUUUUUCGUCUUGUAUCAUUACAUCAGCCAAAAGCUGUUAUGUCACCAUCUUCGUCAGAGCGCUGACCCACCUUAAGGAUAAUUUCGUCCACUGAAUUCCACGUGCAGCAAAAUGUGGCAUGAGUUGGAAGGAGUUACAGAAUAUGGCAGGGAUUGAAAGAAAUAGAGUGGAAUAUGGCAGAUUUUGCAAGAUUUCCUUUUAAAAUUAUUUUGUAAUUAUAUGUUUAAUUGAAGAAAGAUUCUUUUUUUUUUCAUGAUGCCCUUUUUCAACUCUAUCCUUUUAUUUUAUCCAUUUUCAUUUCUACCCUCUUUAAAUUUUUAAUGACCAUUUUACCCUUAUUUGGAAAUUAUUUUAGGUUAACAAAAUGGAAUCUUAAUAUUUUUUCGCCUAAAAUAUUCCAAAACAAAUUUUCCGCCAAAAUUUUCCCGUCAAAAACAUUUUCCGCCAAAAGUUUUCGGAAAAAAAAUUUCCCGCCAAAAUUAUUUUUUCAAAAAAAAUGAUCCCACAA